RNAcentral lists this long non-coding RNA (485 nucleotides) under Fukomys damarensis (Damara mole-rat). RNAcentral describes it as "lncRNA (ENSFDAG00000024170.1)". The record is from RNAcentral. Lineage: Eukaryota; Metazoa; Chordata; Mammalia; Rodentia; Bathyergidae.
GGUAACAGCUAGGGUAGAACCUACACAAAUCCAGUCCAGUUAACACUCAGUAAUUGUUUCUACUUUUUAAAACAUAUUAUUAUUUCUUUUGGUUAAAUUGCCAAAGAGGUGAGUUGGUGUGCUGUGAGGGAAUCUGGAAGGUGUCCAGCAGAGCAUAGAGAUUUCCUGUGACUUUGCCCUGAGAGCCACAUCACCCCUAAGUAAACACCAUCUCCAGGCUGCCUGGUGCCAGGUGAAUGGUACCAACAAACUUAAUGGAAAAAAAGAAGCUCUCAUACUCCAAUGCAACUGAAUAUGAGGCAGCAGCAAGAAGGAAUGACUUACUGAGAUGUGCACAGAUACAGAUGACUCUCAAAAGCAUUCUGCUGGACUUGAAGAGCUGUAAGUCUGACUUGGUGUUUGUGAUGACUGAGGAAAGGAAAGCCUAGAAGGAAAAGCAGAUAUGCAGUUUUAGGGCCCAGAGCAGGAGCGAGGAGCCUGAUGAG